CUAAAAUGUGACUUCAUGGUCCUGCUUCCUUCCAUGGCUGGGAUUUUACAGGCUCUCAUUUGAUAUCAGCUCCGGAGCACCCACUGCUUGUCCCACAUUCUCUGUUCACUGUGCACAGCCAGGCUGAAGGUAAAUCUGCACACUGAGGCUUUGCUGAGGGGCGGCUGGGGCUCAGGGGGAUGUGAGGUGUGUCUACUCCUGAAAACUGAAGUGAAUUACCACCCAGCUGGGCCAUUGUAUCCUUAGCUGUGAUCGGUUCCAGAGAUUUAAAACACAUGCGUG
This 282-nucleotide long non-coding RNA is filed under the name Cricetulus griseus (Chinese hamster). Its description in RNAcentral is "lncRNA (ENSCGRG00000026215.1)". The record is from RNAcentral. Lineage: Eukaryota; Metazoa; Chordata; Mammalia; Rodentia; Cricetidae.